This 337-nucleotide RNase P RNA is filed under the name human gut metagenome. Its description in RNAcentral is "Bacterial RNase P class A". It matches the Rfam family "Bacterial RNase P class A". From Rfam's summary of the family: Ribonuclease P (RNase P) is a ubiquitous endoribonuclease, found in archaea, bacteria and eukarya as well as chloroplasts and mitochondria. Its best characterised activity is the generation of mature 5'-ends of tRNAs by cleaving the 5'-leader elements of precursor-tRNAs. The record is from RNAcentral.
GAACAAUUGCGGACAUUAAUUUGAAAGAAUUUGCCCGAGGAAAGUCCGAGCUCCACAGGGCAGGAUAACGGCUAACGGCCGCCAGGGGCGACCCUAGGGAAAGUGCAACAGAAAUAUACCGCCAAAAUAGAUUUUGGUAAGGGUGGAACGGCGAGGUAAGCGCUCACCAGCAUGUGGGAGACUACGUGGCUCUGCAAACCCUAUCCGGAGCAACACCGCAGAGAGAUUUUUUCGCAUUUGCCCGAUGCUUCUCGAGAAGGUGGCAUUGAGCUGAUUUGGUAACUUUCAGCCAAGAUAGAUAAUUGUUCUCGACAGAACUCGGCUUAUAGGUUUGGUC